GUUAUAAUAUUAAUUGAUGGUGCAUUAUUCUAGUCGUACUUAAAGUUAUGAGGGUGGGGCUAAAAAUCCACUAAAGGGCACAUCGUUGAAGUUUCUUGUUUAUGCGCGGAAUGCCAGUUUUGUGUGUGAGCAGGGAGUAAAGAGGUUAGGGUAGUAUGUAAUGGCAUAUAUAUGAUUCCCUGGUUUCGCGGAGACUUAAAUAGAAAAAUUUAAGUGAAACCUAUGUUGAGUGCCAAGACACGAAAUACAUAGAGUAGCCUGUCUUGAGUGAAGGUAUUGGGAUUAGUUUAUCACGAGUAAAUAAUGUUUUGGCCAAAUGUUUUUUACUUUAAUUAUGAAAUUGCAUUUGCAAAAAAGACUAAUAACUUUAUAAAAAGUAUGUUAAGGAAAACUUCUAGAAUGUUUGCUUUAUCAAAAAGCUUGAAAAUCUAGGGAUUAAGGUACGGAUUUAAGUGGCGAUCUGGUGGCUAAAUAUAAAUUUAGUUAGUUCCCUUAAACGGAAACGGCUAUAACAGUAAUGUUAAGCGGGAAGUAGAGAAAUUCAACCAGACCUAAACCGUAAAAUUUACUUAGGUUUUUACCAUCUAACUUAAUUAUUUA
Clostridium sp. CAG:575 is the source of this 600-nucleotide non-coding RNA. Lineage: Bacteria; Bacillati; Bacillota; Clostridia; Eubacteriales; Clostridiaceae. The record is from Rfam.